Long non-coding RNA from Xenopus laevis (African clawed frog), 683 nucleotides. RefSeq lists it as uncharacterized. Lineage: Eukaryota; Metazoa; Chordata; Amphibia; Anura; Pipidae. The record is from RefSeq and is a predicted model, not a curated record. The transcript has 2 exons.
CCCUAGCAACCAGAUGUCUGAAAUUGAAAACUGGAGAGCUGCUGAAUAAAAAGCUACUAAUAAAUAAUAAAGCAUUAAAAACAGUUGCAAAUUAUCUCGGAACAUCACUCUAGACAUACUAAGCGUUAACAACCUUUUUAAAGGGAAACUAAGAAGCAACGAUAAAUAACUUGCACUGCUUUUCGGAAAGAUGUUAUCAACAAGUCUCCACGGUAGCUUAACUGAAUGUACAAUUUAGUUUUUAUUCAGUAGAAUUCAAUGCCUGCCUGUUCUAUUUCUCCAGGCUUGUGCAGCAUGUAAACAACGUGCAAAUAUUGCCCAAUAACAGGUCUGACAGGUACGUGACUUUGGCCUCAGUAAUAGAGUCACAUGAUCAUUAUCUCUCAUGAACAACUUGUUUUCUGUAGCCCCUUGGUUGUACUUGGUGAGAGGAAGCUCUUGUGUUGCACUAAACACAUGCACAUUCGCUUGUCACGUGUAAUAGCAUAUAUAUUCCCAAUAAGUCGUAUUUAGUGGACCCAAAUCCAGUCUCUUGGCACAUUUGUCUCCUGAUUUCUUAAAGGGACAUUAUACACAUUUAUGUAUGCUUGUUUAAUAUGAGCACAAUCGUUUCUAUUGAACAUGUAUUCUGCCUAUUUUUGUUUUAAAAAAAAAAAAAAUACAUAUUUUCCUGUUGUAAACUA